AAUAAGGUUAUAAAAGUGUAAGGUUGUUAAUAGAUUUAUUCGAAUAAAAGAAAUUACACAUCGAAUCUUUUAUAGUAGCGGAUACAGAGAAUAACAGAAAGUUAUUAAAGUUGUAAAUAUGAUGCGAAAUAUAGACCGUAUAUGUUUUGGGUAACAAUAUGAAACAAUUAAAUAAAAGGAUUGAUAAAGUGGAAAAAAGGCAGGACAAAUUGGCAGAAGGAAAAAUUUGGGACUACAUUUAGUAUAGUGGGCACAAAAAUUUCCACUCAAAACGUCUGAGGAUAUCAUAUUUAGUAAUAAGAAAUUUAAGGAGACAGAAAAUUGGAAACUAUUGAAUUGAUAAAAAAAUCGGGAAAUGUUUAAAUAUUGAAACCAUCUUUAGUAAGAGUAUAAUUCUGUCCCAUAUAUUUUAUGGGAAUAUUUUUACGGAAGUAUCCAUUUUUGCUGGAUGCUAUUUUUGAAGCAACUAGAAAUUGAAAAUCACUCAAUGAGUUUUCAGCAGACCUGCGGAAUGCGUUAAGACUUGUUAAAAAUAGUUUUAACUUCCGAGCAAAAGGAAAG
Molecule: long non-coding RNA, 561 nt
Organism: Teleopsis dalmanni
Lineage: Eukaryota; Metazoa; Arthropoda; Insecta; Diptera; Diopsidae
Exons: 4
Source: RefSeq, a predicted model, not a curated record